Molecule: ribosomal RNA, 253 nt
Filed under: uncultured bacterium
Lineage: Bacteria
Description: partial 16S ribosomal RNA
Rfam family: Bacterial small subunit ribosomal RNA
Source: RNAcentral
GACGAACCGUGCAAACGUUGUUCGGAUUCACUGGGCUUAAAGGGCGCGUAGGCGGGUGGUCAAGUCAGAGGUGAAAUCUUUCGGCUCAACCGGAAAAGUGCCCCUGAUACUGGCCAUCUCGAGGGAGGUAGGGGCAUGUGGAACUUCCGGUGGAGCGGUGAAAUGCGUAGAUAUCGGAAGGAACGCCGGUGGCGAAAGCGACGUGCUGGACCUCUUCUGACGCUGAGGCGCGAAAGCUAGGGGAGCGAACGGG